This 13170-nucleotide long non-coding RNA is filed under the name Brassica napus (rape). RNAcentral describes it as "long non-coding RNA (BNAP_LNC010751)". Lineage: Eukaryota; Viridiplantae; Streptophyta; Magnoliopsida; Brassicales; Brassicaceae. The record is from RNAcentral.
AGUGGUGAAGGAUCUCGACUUGGAGAGAUACAUGGGCCGUUGGUACGAGAUUGCUUCUUUGCCUUCCAUUUUUCAGCCCAAGAACGGUAUUGACACUCGCGCCACCUACACCCUCAACCCUGACGGCACGGUUGAUGUCUUGAACGAGACGUGGAACAGUGGCAAGAGAGUUUUCAUCCAAGGCUCAGCAUACAAGACUGAUCCUAAGAGCGACGAGGCUAAGUUCAAAGUUAAGUUCUACGUCCCUCCUUUCCUCCCUAUCAUUCCUGUCACUGGAGAUUACUGGGUGUUGUAUAUUGAUCCUGAGUACCAGCACGCCGUCAUCGGCCAGCCUUCAAGGAGUUAUCUCUGGGUAUGUCUUGUUGUGUUUUGUCUCUUUAUGAUGAAUAUGAUAGAAAAAGCUAAGGAUUGAUAUUGAGUAUGUGGGAUAUGUGGUGUAGAUACUGAGCAGGACGGCGCAUGUGGAGGAAGAGACAUACAAGCAGCUGCUGGAGAAGGCGGUGGAGGAAGGGUACGACGUCAGCAAGCUUCAGAAGACCCCUCAGAGUGACACACCACCUGAGUCCAACGCUGCUCCUGACGACACCAAGGAUCAAAUGUUAAAAUAGACCACAAGGGGUCAAAAAAUCUGAUAUAGACCUAUUGUUUUUUUAUUUUAAUAAUGAAUUAAAAAUAAAUAAAAAUUAGGGAGAAAAGACCAUGAGACCUAAUAACUUAAACAUAUUUACUAACCUAUGCCAUUGCAAUUCUACCCAGAUUUUGAUCCAGAUUCUGAUCCGGAUCCAUACCCAAACCCGAUCCAACUCUAACCCUAGUCUUCUUCUUCCUCCUCUUUUCUUCUCCAUUAAUGUUCUUUCACCUUAAGAAAAAGUAAAAAAAUUUCUUUAACCAUCCUCCAAUUUUCUCUUUCUUAACCCAAAUCGAACAACCCAUACUCAUAUUUAAUCAAUUAUAUCUUAUUUAGAAUCAAAUAUCAUCUUUUAUGAACGAGAUUUAAAAUAAAGAAGAACGCGAAGUAUAACUAAUACAACUAGUAUAACUCCAAUUGGUACGGCUAGUACAACUCCAACUCAUACAAUUAGUACAAAUCAAAUAGGUACAACUAGUACAACUAAAACAAAUAUAACUAGUAAAAAUAUAUUGAGUAUAGCCAAUAUAGCUAAUACAAGAAAAACGUGUAUAACUAAUAGAACUUUACAAUAAUUUGGUGAUCUUUAUUUUUUUAUUAUCAGCAUAUAAAAAUGAUAGAAAAAGGAUAAUUUAGAACCAAUAAGACAUGUUGGUCUAAUCUUUCCCCGCCUGCAUGUAUCAAAUACAUGAAUUAUAUUUUUAAUAAUAUUUGGAUUGGAUAAUGAUUUAUUUACGAGUUGUACAAGUUACACUAUUGUACUAUUUUCGAAAAAAACAUCAUCAUCUUUUUGUUCUCAAAAAGUAGAUGUGGAUACAAAAAAGUAUUCAACCAUGGUUCCAAAAAACACGAGUCACUGGAAAAAUAAAAAGAAGGGAGCAUCGGCGAUGAGUAAGAGUGACCAUCAUCGAUGGAGAAAAUGAUGGCCUCUAUUGUGAAGAAGAGAGAUGCCGCAUCAAAAAAUAAAAAAGAUGCAGUGAAGAAAAAGAGAGAUGCGGCAAAGAAGAGUGUAGUCGUGGCGAAAAAGAGGAAACUCGACGGUGGUGUCCAUGGUGGGUCUUCGUCAAAUCCAAACAAACAGGCUCGGAACUGCAAGAGAGAAACCACAUCUCCACCGGACCCUCAAUGCGAUCUUUUCCCGGAACCAUCAAUGGCUUCUUCAUUUCAGCCCACUAGUAAGCCCCAUAAAUCAUCAAGUCAACCCAAAAAUUCAGAUGUAUUUUGGUAUAACUAAUGCAACAAGUUCAACUACACUGUAAUAUAUAAGAAUAGUACAACUACUCGACAUUAGUGUUUCAAUCAAAAUAUUUAAAAUAAGAUACACAUUCAAAACGUGAUGCAUAUUUAAAACAAUAUUAAAUUAAAUAACAAGUAGUUAUACCAGUUUUCUAGUUGUAUCGGUUGUGCAUAGUUGUACUAGUUUUUGAGUUGUACCACUUUGUGCAUAGUUGUACUUCGGCAGUAAAAACCAAAAUAUUAGUUGUUCCACAUAAUAAAUAUAUUUACCUCAGUUGUACCACUUAUUUAUGUUUUCAUGCCUUUGCCCGGUUAUAAUGAAAUCAUCAAUUUUGUAAAAAUACAUUUCAUGUAUGUUUUCCAAAAAUUAUGCGGACAAACAAGUUAACAAACCUUAAAAGUAUAAGGUAUAUCAUGUAAACUUCUGGAAUUGUGUAAUAACUUAUAUUUUAUUUUUCCAAAACUUAAAAUAAAUUAAGAGAAACUUUUUGAGUACAUACCAAUUGGGAUAUUUGUUUGUUUUUCUCAUAUGGUAUAUCAAAUUGGUUUUGUCAAUUUCUAAAAUGUUAAAGUUGUACUAGUUGUACCAGUAAUACUCAUCAAAUAUAUAAUAAAUAUUAUAUCAAUUGUGUAUAUAUCUAGUUUUAGGGGCUGUACCAAUAUUUUACAUCAUAGGUUUGUAAAAAUAUGUUUGAUGUUUGUUUAUCAUAAUAAUAUGGCUAAUGUAGUUAAUAAACCUGAAAAGUAUGAAAUAUAUAAUGUAAAAUUAGGAGUAUAAUAUAGUAAUUUAACAACAAUCUGAAAAUUCUAAAUAAAAUAGAUGAAAUUUUCUCAUCAUAUACCAAUUAGGAUAUUUGCUUGUCUAUUUUAUAUGUGAAACAUGAUUUAUUAGUCGUGUCUAGUAGCUACAUAUUAUACAUAAAUUAUAACAUUUAUAUACGAGUUAUACCAGUUAUACAAUUUUUAACAAGUUUAGUUGUACGAGUUAUAUUAGUUAUAUUCAGUCGAAUGAGAGAAUAAAAUAAGGAAGAUUGUGUGGCUGUUAAUUGUUCAGGUGCUUGAAAUUAAAGAAAGAGAAUGAGAGAGAAAGAAAAAUAAUUAUAAAUUCAAUGACCAAGAUUAAAACUCGCUAAUGUUGAGUUAUCAUUAAUGGCAAAACCGUCAUUUAUACAGCCUUUGGUCCAUAUAGAUUAAUUUUGGAUGUUGUAGAUUUUUUUUAAAGCAUUUGGUCUAUAUCAGAUUUUUGUCCCGACACCAAGGGUGUUUGGUGGUUCAAAACUUCAAAUCUAUGUUCGGCAAAUAGUUACAGAAACACAAGAACUUCGUUCACCUCCUUUUACUUCCAUUGCUUGUGUAAUAAUAUUACUACCCCUUAUGUUUACUCUAGUAAUCAUCGUUCUGCUUUUGUGUAAUUUACGAAGAAGAAUAUGUUACUGGAUCAAGUCUCUUAAAAUUAUUAUGCAAUCAUGUUUUUGAAACACACAUGUAUUCUUACAUGGCUUUGUGAAUGUCUUUCUUCUCGUUAUAAAUUAAUUAUGGAUUAAAUUUAAAUGUGUAAUUAAUUUCAAAUAUAUUAAGUUGUAUUCCAAAUUUCAGAAAACUUAAUUACCUAAACUAAUAUUAAGGUUGUUUCAAAUAUAUUAUUGGUAUUGACAUAUUUCUAUUUUAAUUAUAAUCUAAAACUAUUAAAUAGAUAUACAUUUUUAGUAGUAUACGUAUAUGAGAUUUCGUGUGAUCAAACGGGUUCUUUAUCUUGUCUAUGUAAUAACCAAUCAAUAAAGGUUGAAAACAGUGCUAAACAAUUGUUGAAGAACCAUGAUAUCCCCUAUAUAGUAAUUGAGGAUCUUUUAAAAAAUUAGAACAUUAAUUUUGUAUUAAUUAAAAAUACACAUCAUUCUAUGUGGCACUUCUAAAUGCUUUCUAAAUCUUAUUUCUAAGAAUUCUAGAGCACCUAAUAUAAACUAUAAUUUAAUAUAAUGUUGUCACAUAUUUACAUAAUAUAAAGUUAUCUAUUCUUUCUUUAAAUGAAACCUACGUAAUUACCUAAUGUGAUUAAAAUAUAUAUGGCAAUUAAUGAUUAUAAAUAAUAAAGAUUUGAUAACAAUCUUUACAUUUUUUUAUCAUUUUUGUUUAUUUCUUUAUUAUUAAAAUAAAUAACACAAUUACAUUAAUCAAAUAAAAAAAUAUAGAUAUUUUUGUAUAUGUUGUAUUUUGAAUUUUUCAAAACGAGUAUAAAUUACUAAAAUUGUUAAAAGUCUCACAUAAACUUUUGUGAUCAAAGUUUGAAUUUUUUUCUAUAUUAAAAUAUAAUGAUUAUAAGACCAUAUGAAUAAAUAAUUUUAUUUUAAUAGGUUUUAUGUUAAUAUAUAUGAAUCAUAUGAAAAUACAUACUUAUAUUUUGAUAUUUGCAUUAAAAAUAUAUUGAAAAAUUAAUAUUUUAAUUUUGAAAUCUUUAUUAUUUUUUUAAAUGAUUAUAAAUUAUUGAAACUACUAAACAUCCCACAUUAAAAAAAUCAUUAGUGUAAAACAAAUAUGCAAAUAAUCAUAAAAUUAUAUAAGUAGAAACUUCAUUUAAUAAAUAUCCAUAUUAAAAGUAUAAUAUAUAUCUAUGUUAAUAUCAUUUAAAUUUAAUUAUAUAUCAUAUACGAUAGGAAUCGUAUCUAUUUCUUUUAACUUGGAAAAUCAGAGACUUGGGUUGUAGAAAUUGUUGAUGUUUCUUGUAGGUUUCCUCAUACAUGGGAAAUUGUACCUUUUAUUAGGGUUUUAUCCCUUUGAUUUUAUGUUUUCUUACUUUUUUUAGUUGGUUGCAGGUUUGUUGUAGUCAUGGCUGAAAUAGAGGUUCCGGUGUACUGUUACUGGAACGGUUGCAUCAAGUAUGGCCCUGGAGGCGUAUACUAUGAAGGAGGAUCCACUCCUAAAAAGAUUAUCGUGCACCCAAAGAUUGCAUUAAACAGAUUGUUGGAUGAAAUGUAUAUGCUUACUGGAGUUGAUGUUGUUGAUAAGCAGAGAUCCAAAGUUAAAAUAUUUGGUAGGUAUCCUUCAGUUGUUGGAAAGUCCACGUUUCAGUAUCUUCUUCUGCCCGUGAUGAACAACCAUAGUUUGGAGACAAUGCUUGGGGUUCCUAGCAAACAUCCUUCUAUUAAAAUGUCGAAUUGUAUUUGGAAGUCAAACCUGAUGGAGUUGUUGAUCCUGCUGCUUGUUCCUCGAAACGACAGAGGACUGAUAUAUUUGUUAAGUUAGAAAGGGAUAACAGUAACAUGAUGACUGAAGACAAAGCAGAUGCUGUGGCGCUGGUGACAGGAGAUACCAUCAAUUCGCAUAAGGAUUUGGAAAAAUACUCUGGUUCUGGUGUUUUAAAACCUUGUAUUUCUAGUUUGUGGCUUGACGAUCAUGACUUGCGUGUAGGAUUGUGCUUUAAAGAUGUUGAUGAGCUGAAGAAGGCAGUGGACUGGUAUUCGAUUAACAGGCAGAAAAGGUGCGUAGUGCAAGAGACUGGGUAGGAUGAGUGUAUGUGAUGUGCCGCAGUCCACGGAUCAUUACAUGGAACCAGCUCAGCAUGGAGUUCAGGACGUUCUGAACAUUUCAACCGAGGUUCAUGUUUUUCACCAUGCCAGACUUGAGUUGGAUCAAGCCAGACUUGAGUUGGAUCAAGCCAGACUUGAGAAAGAUCAUGCCAGACUUGACUUGGAUCAUGAGGUUUCACAAAAUGAUCGAGACUUCUCUCUUUUGGUUCGAUUGGCCCAUAUUGCAUGUACCGGCGACCGUACUGAUGGACUGAUCGACCCUUUUGAUCAGUUCAUGCACUUUGAUCAGCCAAAUCUCACUAAGGCAAGGAUCAUUCACCUUUCUGAAGACAUAUGACGCACUUGGUCCAGUCUGGUUCAUGAUCCGGACAUGGUGGCUCAUACGGACAGUCCCACAUCCGUCCUUCUCUUUACCUGCGGUCCAUGCUUCAGGAUACAACGAACCUGGACAGAAGCCGAUCAGUCACAUUUAAUAAUCUGUCUUUAUUUUGUUUAAUGACUAGAUUUAGAUAUACUUUUCUAUUUAAUUCCUAGAUCUACAAAACUCUAUAAGUAUGAAACUCUUUCAUUUUAAUAAGGAGAAAUCGAUUUUGUCUAAAGCUUUUGAGUUAAACACUUUGUUCUUCGUUUAAGAACUUGUUCUUAGUUUCUUGGUGAGUCAUAUCCAAGUAAACACUUCUCUUUUUCGUUGGUCUUGUGAGUCAUAUCAAGCAACGGAUCGAGAUCUUCAUUUGGUGGACUUGUGAGUCAUAUCAAGCACCAUCUGAAGUCGGGAAUAUCGAAGGCCAAUCCGCAUCCUUCGUGAGACCUUUCAAUCCAACUAGUCCUCCAUCCGGAGUUCAUAUCAAAAUCUGAUCCAUUCGAGUGAGCCGAUCUUAGGGUCCUUCGGUAUGUAUGAGUGCGUUAGAUGGAAAUGCAAGUGGUCACUUGUUGCCACUAGAAUGGAAAAGCACGGACUUCUAGAGAUAGUCAAGUAUACCGGUCCUCAUACUUGUUAUCUCAAAAAUCCAGAAGAUUUUGAAUCGGAGUUUGAUGCAGAUGAGUUUGAACGUGUUGAAGAAGAAGUGGUGGAAAGAUAAAAGUGGCUAUCUGCUUGAAGAUAAAGACGUCCGAGAGGUGAAAGAGGAAGCGAUCAAAACUGUCUUUGGAGAUUGGGAUCAGAGUUUUGAAGAUUUGCCCAAGUUAAUGUCUGCCUUUUGUUCAUCUAAAAUGGACUGCUCGUGGACUGGAGAUAUGAUGUAUUUCCCAAUCCUAAGUUUGCAUCUUUCUGUGGGGUGUUUUGGGCAUUUUCACAGUCCAUCCAAGGGUUUAAGCACUGCAGACCUUUGAUCGUAGUUGGUACCAAAGAGUUGAAAGGAAAGUACAAGUUGAAGUUGAAAUUGAUGAUUGCCUCAGGGUUAGAUGCAGCCAACCAUUUUUUUGCCUCUGGCCUUUGCGGUGACCAAAGAAGUGUCCUCAGAUAGUUGGCGUUGGUUUCUCAGUGGAAUAAGAGAAAAGGUCACACAAAGAAAAGGCCUUUGCCUCAUCUCCAGUCCCCACCCGGACAUACUCGCCGCCAUUGACGAACUUGGAUCUCAGUGGGCUUAUCACAGGUUCUGCCUGAAACAGUUCGUUCAGUUGAAUGACUCAACCUGCUCAUGCGGGGACUUUCAAAGCAACAAGUUCCCAUGUCUACAUGCUCUAGCCGUCUGCAAGAAGCUGAAAAUCAACCCUUUGCAGUAUGUAGACGACUGUUACACUUGUGAACGGUAUUACAAAACUUAUGCUGCCACUUUUUCUCCUGUUCCGAGAUUGUUUCCUCCAGUCAUUCCUCCGUCUGUAGUACCAUGUAAGUCCCAACGCAAAACAACUCCUAAGACGACUAAUAAAAGGAAGAGCUGAGAAAUGUAGAUUUUCAUCUGAAUCGAACCGGGCAUUUUGGUAUGUUUAUGUAGUAUCUUGAGACUUUCGGAAGUAUGGUUAAUCCCGGUUUGAAUUUUAUGAUGUAGAUGCUGUAAUGGAAAACAGAACGUGUGUUGGUUUUUGUUUUUUUUUUUUGGUAUGUGAUGAUUAAUCCGGUUUCUGUGAGAAAUUUUGUCGAUCCCAUGAACCGAUACAAAAACAAAGCUAAACCGGAUCGGAAACUGAAGCCAACUGUCAUGUUCUUCACCAUCUCAUUCCGAAUCGUUUCUAUCUUGUUAUUGUUAGAAAUUAAAGAACAUAGUGAAGAACAAAAGAGAGAAAGAUAGAGAGAGUAAAGAAGGAUAAUCUUAUUCACUUGAUUAAUUUGCUUAUGAGAACAUCUCAUAUAUAUAGUGGUUACAAGUAUGGUAAAUGGUAGAUGAGAUAUGAUAAACUAAUAAUCCAUUGUUUUGAGACCUUAACCCACCAUGCAUGCUUGUCCCUUGUAGUGGCAUCUCCAUUGUCUUGAGACCUUAACCAACCAUGCAUGUUUGUCCCUUGUAGUGGUAUCUCCAUUGUCUUGAGACCUUAACCCACCAUCUUGUUUCUUAUUGCUUCAUUUUUACACUCCCCCUCAAGCUUGACCAUAGGAACUGGUCAAGCUUGGAAACCAUGAAGCAUUCCCUCAUUAAAACCUUUAGCUUGGAAAAACCUCAUGGGAUAAAAACCAAGCCAAGGAAAAAGAGUAGAACACUUCAUGACUAAGAGGAUCAGUGUGAUGAAAAAUCUACGAGUCCUAACUUGGAAUGUAUGAACUCGCAAACCUUGGUGCUUGCAGCCUUGGUGAAGAUAUCAGCUAGUUGAUCCUCACUUCUUGUAUAGCAGGGUAAGAUGAUCCUUUGUUCCACUGCUUGCCUAACUUUAUGACAAUCCACCUCAAUGUGUUUAGUCCUCUCAUGGAACACAUUGUUGGAGGCUAUGUGUAUUGCCGCUUGAUUAUCACAAUGCAUGGUGAUUGGAGUUGAUGUCUCUAUACCAAAGUCUUGAAGUAGGUUUCUGAUCCAAAUCAACUCACUAGUGAGCUUCCUCAUUGCCCUAUAUUCAGCUUCAGCACUUGAGCAUGACACUAUCUUCUGUUUCUUGCUCUUCCAAGUGACAAGAUUGCCUCCAAUGAAUGUACAAUAACCGGUAGUGGAUCUCCUAUCCACUCUGUCUCCUGCCCAAUCAGCAUCACAAUACCCAACUAUCUCUGUAUUUUUGUUGCAUCCCAUCCACACUCCUUGCCCUGGCGCCUCUCUUAGGUAUCUUAGGAUCCUUUCAACCAUGUUCCAAUGGUGUAUCUUGGGAGCUUGCAUAUUCUGGCUUACUUGGUUAACUGCAAAGCAUACAUCAGGCCUGGUGAUGGUGAGGUAUAUCAGCUUUCCUACCAUUCUUCUAUAGUGUUUAACGUCAGCAUAAGGCUUAUCUUCAAUCUCCCCCUCACGCAGCACCUUAUACCCAUCUUCUAGUGGAGUCUUGGCUACUCUCGCUCCAAGCUUUCCUGCCUCAUUCAAAAGAUCAAGUGUGUACUUCCUUUGAGAUAAGAAAAGCCCCUCUUUAGAGCGGCAUAUUUCUAUCCCUAGAAAGUACUUUAGCUCACCCAAAUCUUUAAUAUCAAAAGUAGACUUAAGAAAUACUUUGGUUGAGAUAAUACCUUCCUUGUCACUUCCUGUGAUGAUAAUAUCAUCUACAUAAAUAAGAAUCACCACAAUUCCUUGCUUGCUUGUGAGUGUGAAGAGUGUAUGAUCAGCUUCUGAUUUUACAAACCCUCUUCCAUUGAGAGUUGUACUCAGUUUGUGGUACCAAGCCCUUGGUGACUGUUUUAAUCCAUAGAUUGCUUUCUUCAACCUUAGGACAUUCCCUGGCUUGACCAUGUCUUCCAUACCCGGAGGUGGCCUCAUGUAAACCUCAUCCUCCAGCUCUCCUUGAAGAAAAGCAUUCUUGACAUCCAUCUGCCAUAAAUCCCAUUCCAAGUUCACUGCCAAUGAGAGUAGAAUUCUUAUGGUGUGGAGUUUAGCUACUGGUGCAAAUGUAUCCAGAUAGUCUUCUCCAUAGACUUGGGUGUAUCCUCUUGCAACUAGCCUUGUUUUCUUUCUUUCUGGUUUCCCAUUGGCAAGGUACUUGAUGGUGAAGAGUAGACGGCUUGUAACAGCUUUCUUUCCUUUGGGGAGCUCAGUUUCAUACCAAGUAUCAUUCUUGAUCAUGGCACCAACUUCAUCCCCAACUGACGCUCUCCACUCUUCAUGCUUCAUGGCUUCUUCAUAAGUCUUUGGUACAUACUCUUGAUCUAGGUUGCUGAUGAAGACUACAUGCUCUUCAGAUAGUCUCGCAAAAGAACAUGUUGCUUGGAUAGGAUGAGCUACUGCAUUGUUGUUGAAGUAUACUUUGGUGUCCAUCCACUGAGAUGGUUUCUUCACCCUUGUACUCCUCCUUAAUGGUUGAACUUCUUGUUGCAUUCCAUCUUGAUCAUUAACAACUUCUUCUUGGAUAGCUUCUUCUUGGAUAGCUUUCUUGUGGAUGGCUUCGUCAUGGAUAGCUUCUUCAUGGAUAGCUUCCUGAUGGAUGAUAGCUUCUUCACGGAUUUGCAAAUUAGGUUGAUUUCCUCCCUCAUGAUCAGGAUGGACUGCUUCUUCAACUGAUGCAGCUUCAUCCACAACUGGAGGUAUAGGUGAAGUGCUCGGUACGCCACUUGUUUGAGGCUGGCUGAUGCCUAGGUUUUCCAGAAUGAUUCUCAAGUUGUUUGCCCUAUCUGAAGAUCCUUGUGGGAGAUCCUGAAGACUGUCCCAAUUCUUCUCAUCAUAGUAUCCCUUUGAUUCCACAAACUUAACAUCCCUUGAGACCAUAACUCUUCUUGAUUCAGGUAUGUAGCACUUGUACCCCUUCUGCGCAUGAGUAUAUCCUAUGAACAUGCCUUUGGCACUCUUGGCUUCAAGCUUGUUUCUCUGUUCCCCUGGUAUCAAGACAUAGCACACACACCCAAAAACACGCAAGUGAUCAAUUGGAGGUUUUAUUUUGUUUAAUACCUGAAAGGGAGAGAUAUCUUGGAGGACUUUGGUGGGGAUCCUGUUGAUCAAAUAACAUGCUGAGACCACAGCAUCUCCCCAGAACCUCUUUGGAACAUUGGUAUGGAACAUCAUGCUCCUUGCAACCUCCAUAAGAUGGCGAUUCUUCCUUUCAGCAACUCCAUUCUGUUGUGGUGUGUAUGGGCAACUUGUUUGAUGGAUUAUGCCAUGUUUUGCUAAGUGAUGUUUGAAAGCAGUGCUUGUGUAUUCUCCGCCAUUAUCAGACCUAAAAAUUUUGAUCUUGGAAUUGAAAUGGUUAGAUACAUAGUUUUGGAAGUUAAUAAAAGCUUCUAAAACUCUAUCUUUAGUUUGAAUCAAGGUGAGCCAUGUAUAUUUUGAUUUCUGGUUGUAUCUGUUGGUUGAAGCAGGUCUGAGGUGAGGAUGGAGUAUCCAACAAUUGGUUUUUGAGUGGCCUAGAUUCUUGCAGUGCUCACAAGUCACAGACUUGUCUCCUCCUCUUCUUGAUUUGAAGUGUGCUUUGUUGCCUGAAGCACUCUCCAUCUUCUCAGCUUUGUUUGCCAUAGACAGCUCCUCUUUUCCACCAAAGAGACCAUCUGAGCCUAGCUCCUUCCAAAGUUGAGCACACACAUCAUCAUAGCUUGGAAGCUUUUUAGCUCUCAAUAUGUGUUUAAGUACAUCAUUGAAGCUUGGGUUGAGUGUGAGAAGCAAUCCAAAGACCUUGUCUUGCUCACGCCUCUCUUCUAGUGUACUAGGAUCAGUGGUACUUGGUCUCAGCAUCUCAAGUUCAGACCACAAGUGGCUGUACUUUCCAAGGUGUUUGGUGAAGUCCAUCUCCUCUUGCUGCAAGUUGUUGAUUGCCCUCUUAACCUCAAAUAUUCUGGUGAGGUUUGAAGUGUUGCCAUAUACCUUGUAUAAGGUAUCCCAUAGCUUCUUUGCAGUCUCACAGUGUGAGUAAGACUCCAUGAUAGGAAUAUCAAGUGAGCCUUGCAAGACAGACAGCACCAUGAGAUCCUCCUGACCCCAUUUGCCUUCAUCUACCACUACAACCUCCUUGACAUCUUCUCCUUGGGUGAUUUGUCUUGGGGCCUCACUUGUGGUGAUGUGCUCCCAUAGACCUCUUCCUCCAAGAGCUGUCCUGGUCAAUCUCGACCAAGUAAUGUAGUUAGGACCUUUCAGGGUGACUGGAAUCCUCACUAGCUGGUGUUGCUCCAUCUUUGCUUGCUACUGGGUAAAAGAAAAUGAAAGAGAUUCUGAAGAAAGUAAACCAAACAAGUGAAAGAGUAAGGUGAAUAGAAUAGAUUUGCGGAAGCAGUUUGGUGUUCAAGAGCUUUGAUGCUCUGAUACCAUGUUAGAAAUUAAAAAACAUAGUGAAGAACAAAAGAGAGAGAAAGAUAGAGAGAGUAAAGAAGGAUAAUCUUAUUCACUUGAUUAAUUUGCUUAUGAGAACAUCUCAUAUAUAUAGUGGUUAUAAGUAUGGUAAAUGGUAGAUGAGAUAUGAUAAACUAAUAAUCCAUUGUUUUGAGACCUUAACCCACCAUGCAUGCUUGUCCCUUGUAGUAGCAUCUCCAUUGUCUUGAGACCUUAACCAACCAUGCAUGUUUGUCCCUUGUAGUGGUAUCUCCAUUGUCUUGAGACCUUAACCCACCAUCUUGUUUCUUAUUGCUUCAUUUUUACAGUUAUCUCGCUUCCAGGCGGGCGGUAAAAUACAAACAAAUAACAUGUGUAUGUUAAGCUUAUCCCUUUGCUCUUUAAGAAAGUUUUUUUGUAAUCUGCAAGGAGGUGAGUGCGAUCCUAAAAUCGACAUUAGAAAUUUGUUAGUGUUUGUAAUAAGAUUAAAGAAGAAGAAUUUUGUGUACAACAAUAUCCUCAAACCAAAACAAAGUUGACGAAAAUGGACUUUAUGAAUAUAGAUCUCGAAUGUUUUACAAGAUAUGGAAAUGGUAAUCUAAACAAGGCUCAGAGGUGUGUUCAAACAUGUCAUGUCAUGUCUCUCCUUAAGGUGAGCCUCAAACUGAGAAUCAAAAUAAAGAUAAAGACUGAAAUGGGUAAGUGAAGAGUUUGAAGUCGAUAGGUUAGUGUGUUCAAAUAUGUCAUGUCUCCUUGCUCUCAUCUCUCAUCUUUUUUUUGGUUUUUGAUAUUUUCUCUUCUUCUCAUCAUUCCGAUCUCGGAAAUCUCGGACGCUCAGUGGUCACCACGAAAAAAGUUGAGUGUUACAAUCUAGUUAAUCACACAAUUAUGAAAAAUGUUCUUGGGUGGGCCUAAAAAUGGCAAAAGAAAGUCAAAUCAAAGUGUGAAUGUUUGGCUUGGCCCAUUGUAUUGUAUUCUUCUACGGUUCUACCUCCCGCCCAUAGAACAAAUAAAAGAGACCGACAUUUGUGUCCUCCUCCUCCUUGUUUCAGAUUACAUCUCAUAGAUGCUACUAGAACCAUUUGCCCUACACGCUUUCCACGUGUCAGUCUCUCUUCCCACAGAAAUCCACUUUGUGGUCUUUUUCUGUUUUCUUUUAUAAAAGAUAAACAGAAUCCUUCUUUCUUAUCCUACUCAAUAAAAUAUCUGAAACGUAGAGAAGAAAGAAGAAGAAAAGAUGACGACGCAGAAGAAAGAGAUGGAAGUGGUGAAGGAUCUUGACUUGGAGAGAUACAUGGGCCGUUGGUACGAGAUUGCUUCUUUCCCUUCCAUUUUUCAGCCCAAGAACGGUGUUGACACUCGCGCCACCUACACCCUCAACCCUGACGGCACGGUGCACGUCUUGAACGAGACGUGGAACGGUGGCAAGAGAGCUUUCAUCCAAGGCUCAGCCUACAAGACUGAUCCUAAGAGCGACGAGGCUAAGUUCAAA